RNAcentral lists this long non-coding RNA (200 nucleotides) under Elaeis guineensis (African oil palm). RNAcentral describes it as "long non-coding RNA (EGUI_LNC075410)". The record is from RNAcentral. Lineage: Eukaryota; Viridiplantae; Streptophyta; Magnoliopsida; Arecales; Arecaceae.
AUAUGAUGAAGUCUGUAAAUAAAUUUUUAUUUUUUUCUUAUAUUUAAUUUUUAUAUAAUAAAAUUAUACUUUUAUUUCAUAUCAUUUUAUUUUUUUGAGGUAUUGAUCUAGCCUACACGGCCUAUACCCUGUACUGACGUGUCGUGAUCCUUAGAUACGGUACGUGCUUAAGAGAGAUAGAUCGUAGUAUGUUAGAUAAA